This 576-nucleotide ribosomal RNA is filed under the name uncultured bacterium. Its description in RNAcentral is "bacterial SSU rRNA". It matches the Rfam family "Bacterial small subunit ribosomal RNA", at positions 338 to 916 of the family's 1533-position model. The record is from RNAcentral.
CCUACGGGAGGCAGCAGUAAGGAAUAUUGGGCAAUGGGGGCAACCCUGACCCAGCCAUGCCGCGUGCGGGAUGAAGGCCCUUUGGGUUGUAAACUGCUUUUGAAUGGGAAGAACCGACAGUUUGCGAACUGUUUUGACGGUACUAUUAGAAUAAGCACCGGCUAACUCCGUGCCAGCAGCCGCGGUAAUACGGAGGGUGCAAGCGUUAUCCGGAUUUAUUGGGUUUAAAGGGUGCGUAGGCGGCUUUAUAAGUCUUGGGUUAAAGGCAGCAGCUUAACUGUAUGCAUGCCCCAGAUACUGUGAAGCUUGAGUGACCUGGAGGUAGCUGGAAUUCCCUGUGUAGCGGUGAAAUGCAUAGAUACGGGGAGGAAUACCGAUUGCGAAGGCAUGUUACUACGGGUAAACUGACGCUGAUGCACGAAAGCGUGGGGAUCAAACAGGAUUAGAUACCCUGGUAGUCCACGCCGUAAACGAUGAUUACUAGUUGUUGGGUGAUAGCUCAGUGACCAAGGGAAACCGAUAAGUAAUCCACCUGGGGAGUACGCCGGCAACGGUGAAACUCAAAUGAAUUGACGG